AAAUUGAAGAGUUUGAUCAUGGCUCAGAUUGAACGCUGGCGGCAGGCCUAACACAUGCAAGUCGAACGGUAACAGGAAGCGCUUGCUGCUUCGCUGACGAGUGGCGGACGGGUGAGUAAUGUCUGGGAAACUGCCUGAUGGAGGGGGAUAACUACUGGAAACGGUAGCUAAUACCGCAUAACGUCGCAAGACCAAAGAGGGGGACCUUCGGGCCUCUUGCCAUCGGAUGUGCCCAGAUGGGAUUAGCUAGUAGGUGGGGUAACGGCUCACCUAGGCGACGAUCCCUAGCUGGUCUGAGAGGAUGACCAGCCACACUGGAACUGAGACACGGUCCAGACUCCUACGGGAGGCAGCAGUGGGGAAUAUUGCACAAUGGGCGCAAGCCUGAUGCAGCCAUGCCGCGUGUAUGAAGAAGGCCUUCGGGUUGUAAAGUACUUUCAGCGGGGAGGAA
RNAcentral lists this ribosomal RNA (451 nucleotides) under Shigella flexneri. Its description in RNAcentral is "bacterial SSU rRNA". It matches the Rfam family "Bacterial small subunit ribosomal RNA", at positions 1 to 449 of the family's 1533-position model. The record is from RNAcentral. Lineage: Bacteria; Pseudomonadati; Pseudomonadota; Gammaproteobacteria; Enterobacterales; Enterobacteriaceae.